RNAcentral lists this ribosomal RNA (396 nucleotides) under uncultured microorganism. Its description in RNAcentral is "bacterial SSU rRNA". It matches the Rfam family "Archaeal small subunit ribosomal RNA", at positions 330 to 725 of the family's 1478-position model. The record is from RNAcentral.
GUGCACCAGGCGAGAAACCUCCGCAAUGCGGGAAACCGCGACGGGGGACCCCGAGUGCCGUGGCAACGCCACGGCUUUUCCGGAGUGUAAAAAGCUCCGGGAAUAAGGGCUGGGCAAGGCCGGUGGCAGCCGCCGCGGUAAUACCGGCGGCCCGAGUGGUGGCCGCUAUUAUUGGGCCUAAAGCGUCCGUAGCCGGGCCCGUAAGUCCCUGGCGAAAUCCCACGGCUCAACCGUGGGGCUUGCUGGGGAUACUGCGGGUCUUGGGACCGGGAGAGGCGGGGGGUACCCCUGGGGGUAGGGGUGAAAUCCUAUAAUCCCCAGGGGGACCGCCAGAGGCGAAGGCGCCCCGCUGGAACGGGUCCGACGGUGAGGGACGAAGGCCAGGGGGAGCAAACC